Molecule: long non-coding RNA, 1014 nt
Organism: Macrobrachium nipponense
Lineage: Eukaryota; Metazoa; Arthropoda; Malacostraca; Decapoda; Palaemonidae
Exons: 3
Source: RefSeq, a predicted model, not a curated record
GUGAGUGCCGAGUGCCGGCCCAAGAGUCCGAAGGUUUGUAUGCGGCCCCCCAGCAUUCCGUCUCCAUUCCUCCUCGUGACACCGCCAGUGGAAGACUCAAGACACCUACUCCAAAGUUGAAAAAAUCCAGUGACAACAUGCCAGAUCCCUGCUCUGACGAUACUUGCAAGACCGGAAAGGGUGACUGCUCUAAGGAUGGGGGCGGCUGCUGCAGCGAGAGCAAGUGCAAAUGCAACAAGUCCGGAGAAAAGAAAUGUGGUUCCGGCUGCAAAUGCAAGGGCAGCGAUGGCAAAUGCCAGUGCACUGAUUCUUGCAAAUGCUAAGCUGAACAUCGAAAGAUGGCAACAAUGAGAAAUCCUGAUUAUUAUCAGCUAAAAAUUUUCCUGCUUCUUUCACUAAAUCUGCACCUUCACCUUCAUCUAAAUAAUUGCUAAAUUCGCCUUUUAUCAAAAUUCACACUUUCACCGAUUUCAUGAGUUUAUAAUCCUUAAAUCAAUAUGGUCACUGUGAAUAUAAAGAAGGUAAAACAUGGGCGCCCGCACACAGGAACAAGGGCGGCACUUGCCAAGCCCCCCCCCCCCCUGAAAUCCUGGAAAAAAUUUAAUAUAUAUACAUACACAUAUAUAUAAUAUAUGUAUAUUACAUUUAACUACAUCACUUUGAUUUCCUUCCAUUUUACAAUAUAUUCUUUCAAUUUAAGUAAAUUAAAUGUAUCAUUGUAUAUUGUAUAUUUGUAUAUUGUAACAACUGCGCCGUUCUUAACAGAAAUAUUUGAAUUCAACUGAACAGUAUAUGUAAAGUAUUUUUUUCUUUAUCGCAUCUUGCUUCACUUAAAUCUGUGGCAUUACAGUUCCACUGCAUAUAACAAUACAAUUUGCCCCCUUGAAAAAUAUGCUACGGCCGCCCAUGAGGUAAAACAUAUUACAGUGUUGUCAAAUAAAAUUAUGCAAGCAGUUAUAUUGUUUGCACUGUCACGAAUAUUGGUCGCUCGUCAAUAAAGGAAAUAAUGCAACA